GAUGAACGCUAGCGGCAGGCCUAACACAUGCAAGUCGAGGGAGGAGCUUUCGGGCUUCGACCGGCGUACGGGUGCGUAACGCGUAUACAAUCUGCCUUUCACAUAGGGAUAGCCCGAAGAAAUUUGGAUUAAUACCUAAUGGUAUAUAGGAGUGGCAUCACCUUUAUAUUAAAGCUGAGGCGGUGAAAGAUGAGUAUGCGUUCUAUUAGCUAGUUGGAGAGGUAACGGCUCCCCAAGGCGACGAUAGAUAGGGGUUCUGAGAGGGAUAUCCCCCACACUGGUACUGAGAUACGGACCAGACGCCUACGGGAGGCAGCAGUGAGGAAUAUUGGACAAUGGUCGGAAGACUGAUCCAGCCAUGCCGCGUGCAGGAAGACGGCCUUAUGGGUUGUAAACUGCUUUUGCAGGGGAAGAAUAAGGAGUACGUGUACUUUGAUGACGGUACUCUGCGAAUAAGCAUCGGCUAACUCCGUG
Molecule: ribosomal RNA, 474 nt
Filed under: uncultured bacterium
Lineage: Bacteria
Description: partial 16S ribosomal RNA
Rfam family: Bacterial small subunit ribosomal RNA
Source: RNAcentral